AUGAACGCUAGCGGCAGGCUUAACACAUGCAAGUCGAGGGGUAUGCCGAUUUAUCGGCAGAGACCGGCGCACGGGUGCGUAACGCGUAUGCAAUCUACCUUUCACAGAGGGAUAGCCCAGAGAAAUUUGGAUUAAUACCUCAUAGUAUAGCGGUUUCGCAUGAAACCACUAUUAAAGUUCCAACGGUGAAAGAUGAGCAUGCGUCCCAUUAGCUAGAUGGUAAGGUAACGGCUUACCAUGGCUACGAUGGGUAGGGGUCCUGAGAGGGAGAUCCCCCACACUGGUACUGAGACACGGACCAGACUCCUACGGGAGGCAGCAGUGAGGAAUAUUGGACAAUGGGCGCAAGCCUGAUCCAGCCAUGCCGCGUGCAGGAUGACGGUCCUAUGGAUUGUAAACUGCUUUGUACAGGAAGAAACACUACUUCGUGAAGUAGCUUGACGGUACUGUAAGAAUAAGCACCGGCUAACUACGUG
Molecule: ribosomal RNA, 476 nt
Filed under: uncultured bacterium
Lineage: Bacteria
Description: bacterial SSU rRNA
Rfam family: Bacterial small subunit ribosomal RNA
Source: RNAcentral